RNAcentral lists this ribosomal RNA (400 nucleotides) under uncultured bacterium. Its description in RNAcentral is "bacterial SSU rRNA". It matches the Rfam family "Bacterial small subunit ribosomal RNA", at positions 975 to 1375 of the family's 1533-position model. The record is from RNAcentral.
CUACCCUUGACAUGCCACUAACGAAGCAGAGAUUUGGGAGUGCUCGAAAGAGAACCUGCACACAGGUGCUGCAUGGCUGUCGUCAGCUCGUGUCGUGAGAUGUUGGGUUAAGUCCCGCAACGAGCGCAACCCUUGCCAUUAGUUGCUACAUUCAGUUGAGCACUCUAAUGGGACUGCCGGUGACAAACCGGAGGAAGGUGGGGAUGACGUCAAGUCCUCAUGGCCCUUAUAGGUGGGGCUACACACGUCAUACAAUGGCUGGUACAAAGGGUUGCCAACCCGCGAGGGGGAGCUAAUCCCAUAAAGCCAGUCGUAGUCCGGAUCGCAGUCUGCAACUCGACUGCGUGAAGUCGGAAUCGCUAGUAAUCGUGGAUCAGAAUGUCACGGUGAAUACGUUCCC